RNAcentral lists this long non-coding RNA (16621 nucleotides) under Marmota monax (woodchuck). The stretch from base 14977 to 15037 matches the Rfam family "tRNA", at positions 6 to 65 of the family's 71-position model. The record is from RNAcentral. Lineage: Eukaryota; Metazoa; Chordata; Mammalia; Rodentia; Sciuridae.
CGGAGCAAGGGAAGCAAGUAUUAUUGCUGAUGAUUGGUCGAAGUAGCCCGAGUCAGGAAAAUGGCUGCGAGUACCUCUGUAGUCCCGGUGGCGGUGACGGCGACGGCGACGGUGAUGCCCGGCCUAUCCACUAACGCAGAUUUCUCAGAUUUGCGGGAAAUUAAAAAGCAGCUGCUGCUCAUUGCGGGCCUUACUCGAGAGCGGGGCCUGCUGCACAGUAGCAAAUGGUGAGAUGUCGGGGUCGGAGGGGACCAAGCUUGGAUCCUUGGCCUUGGGGGCUUCUCAAGCUGAUCCAGUUUGUGUGCGUGUUCCAGGUCCGCGGAGUUGGCCUUCUCCCUCCCCGCGUUGCCUUUGGCCGAGCUGCAGCCGCCGCCGCCUAUUACAGAGGUAAGAGCAUUUUCACAGUGAGCGAUCCUCGCCAAAGCAAUGUGCUUGAAGAGGCACAUUGAAUGCCCUGUCCCUGGAGAGGAGCUAACCGUUUAGCAGCAGUGUUUGCUAGAGGGAAUACAAGCGUUUAAAGAGCUGGGUGGUAUAAGUGGUUUUUAUCCGUGGUGUUUUCUUGUUUCGUUUGGUUUUGGUUUUGAUGGUGCUCUUACUUUAAGCCAGAGAGACCACGUACACAAUCAUUGCUUAAGAUUUCAGCUUUUGGGGUUUUGUGGCCCAACCUAGAAAAUACUCAAAGAUGAGAAAAAGCAAAAGUUUUCGCAACAGCUUGGGACUAUUCUUGCUCUAUUGUUUGAUCCGCAUUGCAAAAUGUGUGUGGGCUCUGGGUUCAAAUCUAAAACUAAUGACUUUUGGCAAUUUAUUUAACCUCCUGAGCCCAGUUCUUUUAUCUGAAAAUGAGAAUAAUAAUGACCACUUUGGGAGGGGACAAUUUAGGGAAUUAGAUAAUAUCAGGUAUUCUCAACAUUCCCAUUCAUAAGAGAGAGGUGGCUUGGUAGGGUAAAUAUUUUGCAUCUAUAUUCCAGUCAUGUUCUUUGCUCCUAUCAUCAUUGUGGGCAAGUAAAUGCUAAGUGACAGCCUUCCAUCUAUAGAUAAUAUUAACAAUAGUUGGGUUUUCAAGAUUAAUUAAGACAAUAGAGGUACAAUUUUUAUUUUUAUUUUUUAGAAUUAAAGGUAAAACUCACUCUUGUAUGAUUGUUUUGAGUCCGUGUGAUUUAUAUCUCUUAUUAGCUUUUACUUCCCUGUGACUAUUGUCACAGUGCCUAGGCACAUUGAUGGUCCUGAAUAGAAUAAAAAUUGCUGAAUGAGUAAUAAAGCACAAUGCCAGGUGAAACAUAGAGCCUCAGAAAAUAGUCCUUGCUCCUAACAGUUCAUAUAACACAGGAAUUUUAUAGACAUUUCAGAAACCUAACCAUUAUUGAAUUAUUAGAAAGUAAUAGCUAUUGGUGCUGGGUAUUGCAUGCCUGUAAUCCCAGAGGCUGGGGAGGCUGAGGCAGGAGGAUCACAAGUUCCAGGCCAGCUUCUGCAUUUUAGUGAGGCCCUUCUCAAAAUAAAAGGGUUGGAGCUGUGACUUAGAGGUAAAGUUCAGUCUCCAGAAGCAGGAGUAAGGGUGUGGGGGGUGAUAUUAGCUAUUGGUUAGUUUCAGCUUUCUUUGAGUAUAUUGAUUUAGCAGCUUCUUUUUUAAAUUGUUGGGCAUUUAGUGUUCUCUGGGGAGUGUCCCUAAAAAAUGCCAGAGAAACAUAUUAAUCUCAUUUAGCCUUGAUCCAAAAUUUAAACUAGAGUAAACCUUAAAACAUUGGUCUUCAAAGAAUUACUGAAAUUGAAGAUUCUUUUGCUGUGUUCAAAUCUGUGUAGUAGCCAUCUGUUAUAUAAACAUUCUGCCAGGUAUGAUGGUGCACCCUGUAAUUGCAGCAGCUCAGGAGGCUAAGGCAGGAGGAUCGAAAAUUUGAGGCCAGCCUUUGAGACCCUGUCUCAAAAUUAAAAAAUGAAGAGGGCUGGGAUGUGCCCUUGGGUUCAAUCCCUGGUACUAAAAACAAAACAAAACAAAACAAAAUGAUGUGAUUGGUACUAACUGUGGCUACUUAAAAACUCAGCUUUAAUGCUAAAUACGUCUGAAUCACAUAGUGUGUAACCUUCAUUAGAACAUUCUAGGUUCUCAUAAGCAAGAAUGAAAAUAUAAAGCUAUAUAGUUCAAAUAGUAAAACUUUGUGGACUUUGGAUUUUUUGUUGUUGUUGUUUGUUUGUUUUUUGUUUUUUUUUCGGUUCUAGGGAAUGAAUCCAGGGGCACUUUACCACAGAGCUAUAUUCCCAUUCCUUUUUAAAUUUUUUAAAAAUUUGAAACAGGGUCUUGUUAAGUUCCUGAGGGUCUAGCUAAGUUGCUGAGACUGGCCUUAAACUGCUUCUGCCUCCUGAGUUGCUGGGAUUACAGGUGUGUGCUACCAGCCCUGGCAAAAUAGUAAAACUUUCCGAGUUAUAAAUGUGUGUGAAGAGUUAUAAAUGUUUUGUGUAUGAUCUAUAAUAUGUAUGUAUGCACAGUGUUGUGUAAUUGGAAUGAUUUUUAUCAUAAUCCAUUUUUCCCUGAAUAUGCCAGUUGAUUUUUUUCCCACAACUAUAAAACAGUGACUAUUUCUCAUUUGGCAAGGUGUAAUGCACCAGUACUGCAAAAACAGAGAGAGACAGGUGCAUAAUGAAGGGAGGGGUUCAGUGGAAAAGAAAUAAGCAGCUGGUGAGUAGAAUGUGAAAGGGACCUUCAGAAUCCUAAGAUGAAUGGCAAUAUUUAGGACAUGUUGAUCCAGUGAAGAAAAUGCUAAAUAUGUUGUGAUUCUACUUCUGUACUGGUGAUAUUUGGGUCAAGAUGGAUAAGAAGAAAUGAAGUUUUUCAUGUUUUAGUUAACUCAUUCCUAGAAUUUGGGUGAUCAUACGUUUUUCUUUUUUUGUUACCUGGGAUUAAACCCAGGGGCAUUUAAGCACUGAGCACCCCAGCCCUUUUAAAUUUUUUUAUUUUGAGACAGGGUCUCACUAAAUUGCUUAGGGCCUUGCUAAAUUAUUGAGGCUGGCUUUGAACUUUUCAUUCUCCUGCCUCAGCCUCCUGAACCACUGGGAUUACAGGUGUGCACCUCUCUACCCAGUAUGUUUGUAACUAUGUUUUUAACUUAAAUGUGUUAUGAAUUAUAACUGUAUUUUAUUUUUUUUAAAUAAUUUUUUUAGUUGUGGGUGGACACGAUAUCUUUAUUUAUUCAUUCAUUUAUUUAUUUUUAUGUGGUGCUAAGGAUCGAACCCAGUGUCUCACACAUUCGAGGUAAACGCUCAACCCCUGAGCUACAACCCCAGCCCCUAUAACUGUAUUUUAUGUUGUCAACAAUGCUAACAUAUGAUAAGACUUUGUUGAAAUACAGAAAAUAUAAGUGAUCACACAUGAUAUACUUAUGUAGGAAUUUUAAAAAGAUGAGAAGGAAGAGAAUGCCACAUAUGAAUGCUGGACAUUUUAAGUGACUUUUUCACAUUUUCCUCAUAUCAAAUCUGUAAGGUCAAUAUUACUUAUUCUACUUUACAGAAGAAACAGAUGUUCAACUAGGUGUGGUGGCACACUCCUAUAAUCCCAGUGAUUAGGAGGCUAGGGCAGGAAAAUUCAGGUUUGAAAGCAGACUGGGCCACUUAGUGAGACCCUAUCUAAAAAUAAAAAAUAAAAUGAACUGUUGAGACCCUGAGUUGAUUUUUAAAUUUAUAGCUCAAUGCUGAAGUGCCCUUGGGUUCAGUUCCCCUCCAACCUCCCCCAAAACUUGCCAAAAAAAUAAAAAAGAAAGAAAAGAAAAAGGAAAAAUGCAUGCUCAUGAAACAGAGACCAAGAAUCAGAAAAUGAAUUCAGGUCCUGAACACAAAACCAUUUGCAACUUCCUAAUGACAUUUGAAGAAACAAUAUAAGUUUCUGAGUAUAUUGAUUUAGUGGUUUGUUUUGUUUUUUUUUUUUUUUUUUGGUACUGAGGAUUGAUCUCAGGGACACUUUACUACUGAGAUACACCCCCAGUCCUUUUUAUUUUUUUUAUUUUGGGUCAGAGUGUCUCUAAAUUGCUGAGGCUGACCUUGAAUUUGAAGUAUUCUUAUCUCAGCUACCCAAGUUGCUGGGAUUAUAGGCAUUGGCACUGCACCCAGCUAUGUGUGUUGGUUUAAUUUUUAAAAUUUUUGUCUUUUGCCAGGUUUUGUGAUGCAUACCUAUAAUCCUAGCUACAUGGGGCUAAGGCAGUAGGAUUGUAGAUUCAAGACCAGCCUGGGAAAAGUUAGUGAGACCGUGUCUCAAAGUAAAAUAAAAGGAAUGGGGUUGUAGCUCAGUGGUAGAGUGCUUGUCUAGCAUUUGUGAGGCCCUGGGUUUUAUUCUCAGCACCACAUAUAAAAAAUAAAUAAAUAAAUAAAUAAAACGAAGGUUUAUCAACAACAACAACAACAACAACAUAAUAUUACAUUUAAAAUAAAAUGAAAGACUUGGUAUGUAGCCCUAAGGUUCACUGCCCAGAAAACAAAAAACAAAAAGAAAAAAGAAUAAAAAGGGCUGGGGAUGUAGCUCUGUGGUAGAGUACCCCUACAUUCAAUACCUAGUUAUUUAAAAAAAAAUAUAUGUGUGUGUGUGUGUGUUUGUGUGUGUGUGUCUUUGUCUUUUGCACCACCUUUUUAUUUGAAAAGUAUUUUGGAAAGAAGUAGUUCUUUCCAAAGAAAGAACUUGCCUGGUAGUACAUAUAUAAAAAUGCUGCAUGUAUACAUCUACAUAUGUGUUAGCUUUCUGGAAAUAGAAAAAAAAAAAUCACUUUUCUUAUAUCUUGAAAUUACUGAAUAUGUUUCUUAUGUUUGAACUUUUGUUGUCCUAUUUUCAGUUAUUUACAUGGACUUGUCUCUUUUCUAGGAGGAUGCCCAGGAUAUGGAUGCUUAUACCCUGGCCAAGGCCUACUUUGAUGUUAAAGAAUAUGACCGGGCAGCACAUUUCCUACAUGGCUGUAAUAGCAAGAAAGCCUAUUUCCUAUAUAUGUACUCCAGAUAUUUGGUGAGGGCAAUUUUAAGGUGUUACUUUGCUUUCAGUGAAGCAUUCAUAUUUAGAAUUAAAUAGAAAAAUCCCAGCCUGAGUUGAUUUUAACAGUGGGGGAUGGUGGUGCAUGCCUAUAAUCUUAGUGACUUGAGAGGCUUAGUCAGGAAGAUACAAGUUUGAGGCCAGCUUUGGCAACUUUGUGAGACCUUGUCUCAAAAUUAAAGGGCUGGAGAUGUAGCUCAGUGCUUACGUAAAGUGCCUCUGGGUUUAAUUCCCAGUACCAAUAAAUAAACUAUUCAGUUUUCACUUUUAUUUGUAGUACAUUUGUUGUUUUGUUGCAUGGCUGUUAAAUUGUAAAUGUAAAGGGCAAUACAAGUAUUUAAUUCUGGAAUAUUAUGAAUGUAUUUUCCUACUUUUUUUUUUUUUUUUUUUAGUUAUUUUAUGUGUGAACAGAUCUUUUAAAAUAUUUUAUAAGGCUGGGGGUAGCUCAGUGGUAGAGUGCUUGCUUAUAAUGUAUUUAUUCAUUUAUUUAUUUAUUUUUAUGUGGUGCUGAGGAUUGGGUUUGAUCCCCAACAUUGCAAAAAAAAAAUUAUAUACAUUUACAAGUGUAAGCAUUUAUAAUGUAAUGUAAUCCUUACAUUAUAGGUGUAAGGAUUGAAUUUAGGGAUGCUUAACCACUGAGCUACAUCCCCUGCUCUUUAAGAAAAAAAAAUUUUUUUUUUAAGUAUUUAUUUUUUAGUUGUAGUUAGACACAAUACCUUUAUUUCACUUAUUUGUUUUUAUGUGGUGCUGAUAAUUGAACCCAGGGUCUCACAUGUGUGAGGCGAGCACUCUACAGGAUCUUGAUAAGUUGUCCAGACUGGCCUCCAAUUGCAAUCCUCCUGCCUUAGCCUCCCAAGUAGCUGGGUUUAUAAGCUUGUAAUACUAAGCCUGGCUGGAUUCCUAUAUUUUUAAUUAUUUAUAAUUAUUUACUGUACUUACUUAACUACUUUGGUACUCAAAUUAUCCCACAUUUAGGCAGUGGGAGCCCCCAAAUGAUUGUUUGAAAUUAAUGACCAAAAGCAGAUGCCAUUUUUGUUGGACUUGAACUCUUGGGUAGUUUUAAAACAUGUUUCAGAAUAAAUUGAAAAAAAACCUACCUACUUGUUGAAUUUCUUUUACAGUCUGGAGAGAAAAAGAAGGAUGAUGAAACUGUUGAUAGCCUAGGUAUGAAUUUUUUUUCUCUUAUCUCUUGGAUUAAAAAGUAGCUUUGUAAAUUUAAGUGCCUGUUGGAGCCAGUCAGGUAAUAUAACUGGACUGAGAUGCAUUGUUGCAAAUUUCAGAGCACAUGGCUUAUCUCAUGUACCCUGUUGGCACCCAGCUUCAGCUGAGGGCUGCCUUGUGGCACUCUGGGCCUGAUGUUAUUAGGGCCUUCUUCCUUUGGCCCUUCUCUGUUUCCUGAAGCUAAAAACUCAGAUUUUUAAUUGAGGCUUCUGAUUUUUAGACAAUGAUAACUAAUUCAAAUUUAAAAACCCAACAACUAUUUGGGUGUAGGACUGCAGACCCAUUAUUAGUUGCAAUUUCUAGAAUAAAGUAAAUGGAUCGUAUAAGAUAUCAAUGGACACUUAUGAGUAUUUGCUGGAGGUUUCAAGUAUAACCUUCAGUUGAAACUAAAGGGAAUAUAUACAUCUAUGAAAAUGAAAGCCAGCAUCCUUCUCUUAGAUCAGAGACUUUGUUUCUUUCCUAGGCCCCCUGGAGAAAGGACAAGUGAAAAAUGAGGCUCUUAGAGAAUUGAGGGUAGAGCUCAGCAAAAAGCAUCAAGCUCGGGAACUUGAUGGAUUUGGCCUUUAUCUGUAAGUGGUUUUUAUAGUAAUUUGGAACUUUCUAUAUCUUUUUUUGUGUGUGGGUGAGUGUGGUACAGGGAAUUAAACACAGGGCCUCGCAUAUGCUAGGCAAGUGCUCUACCACUGAGUUACAUCCUUGGCUAUCUUUUUUAUUUUGGGACAAGGUCUAACUAGGUUCCCAAGGCUAUCCUCCAACUUGUGAUCCUUCUGCUUUAGCCUCCUCAGUAGCUGGAAUUAUAGACUUAUGCCAGUGUACCCAGUUUCUAUAAUAUAUUCUUGAGUAGAGGGGAGAUAUUAUAAAGCAUUAACUUCUCCUGUGAUUAUUUCCUUCUUUCCCAGGUAUGGUGUGGUGCUUCGAAAACUGGACUUGGUAAAAGAGGCCAUUGAUGUGUUUGUGGAGGCUACUCAUGUUUUGCCUUUGCAUUGGGGAGCCUGGUUAGAACUCUGUAACCUGAUCACAGACAAAGAAAUGGUAAAUUGAGAUGAUCCUCGUGAAGAUCCCUCUGCUUCCAAUGUAAUUGGGGGGUGGUGAAGUUUUGCCCAUAUGACCUCUUUAGCUAGCUCUUUGCUGUGUCUUUAGUCCCUGUCAUAAUUUCAGAAUUUAGAUCUUCAUUGGAUGAUAACUAGAUCUUGCUCAGUAGCUGCUGUUGGAUUCGAAUCCAUUGAUAUUGGAAUGUUUUUUGUAUUCAUGUUUUGACAUUCAAGUUUUCCUAUAACUUGUUUUAUGGAAUAAGUGUUAUAGUUUCUCCUCUAAUUCUAGUGAUACUAUAGGAAAGAUUUCUCUGAUAUCAAGGAUUAUACUAAAACAUAUUUUCAGGCCUCUUUUGAGAUAUCAUGGAUUCUGUAAAUAUUUAGAGAUUUAUUAGUGAAAUAAUGUAUAUGAAACUGCUUUAUUAACUGCAAUUGCUUUAUUAGUCACUGUUAGAAGACUUUGUCUAUGAUGUUCAUUCUGCUAUUCUUCAGUGGCUAAUAGAAGCAACAACACAAUUCCUUUUGUUGGCUUUAAAGAGCCAAAGUAAUGAUUUAUGCUAAAAAUCUGUGUCUGAGAUCUGACCUUUGUUUACUUAUAUUCACCUAUCUCUAACUACCUCCUAGAUUUCCACUGAAAGUUUUACCUCUGAACUCAAAAUAUGCAAAACCAAAUUUUUCAUCUUGCUUACCAAAUUCUUCUUGCUAUCUUGAUAUCUCACUACUUUUGCUAUUUCUCAAGACACUCACAUCUUGACACCUCAGAGUCAUAUUUAUUUGUCUUUCCCUUUCUCUUAUUUUCCUUAAUCUAGUCAAUCAUGAGACAGUGCCAUGAUUGCUUUCUUGUGUACAUCUCUUUGUCUUGGUUCUCUUUGUCAUCUCUGUUAUUUCAAAUUUGAAUUACUUAUAAGUAAUAGAUACUUUCUCUCUAGCUUUCCCAUUUUACACUUAACAUUUCAAAGUCAUCCUACAUAUUGUUUCAAAAUUUAUUCUUGGCAUGAAUGACACAUCAUCAUGUCAUUCUCUUGGCAGAAAUAUAUAGUAGUUUCCUGUUGUACCCCAUUAUCUGUUGCAUGGUAGGAUCUACCCUACCAGCCUAAUCUUAUUUUUCCUCUUUUUCUGGAUAUAGCUUCCUCAAACCAAGCUAGUUUCCUCAUCCUAUUCACACACAUCAUAUCUGUUUUGGCCCUACUUAGGUUGUUGCCCUUGCCUUGAAUGUUAUCUUCUUAAUUUUCCUUCCCCUUUUCUCUAUUUAAACCCUACCCAUUCUCUAAGACUCACCUUUUCUUUAAAGCCUAUUCUCAGUAGAUCAUUCUUCCCUAAUUGUGCUUAUAAGCCAUAUUCACUUAGUUGGAUUACCCUGUACUCAUUAUUAGGUGCUUUAAUAAAAUUUUAGUGGUAAAUCCCUUUAGACAAUAAAGAUCGUUCCUUGAUUUUCAUUUGGGAGAGAGGUCAAAUUUUAUUAAGUGUGUCCCUCUCUCUCCUGCUGCCAGCUGAAGUUCCUGUCUUUGCCAGACACCUGGAUGAAAGAGUUUUUUCUGGCUCAUAUAUACACAGAGUUGCAGUUGAUAGAGGAGGCCCUGCAAAAGUAUCAGAAUCUCAUUGAUGUGGGCUUUUCUAAAAGCUCAUAUAUUGUUUCCCAAAUUGCAGUUGCCUAUCACAAUAUCAGAGGUGAGUGAAUAAGGACAAUGAAAUACCCUCAGACCCUGAUAGGUGCACUGUGUUGUUUUCUGAACUUGCUAUGUUCUUUCUGCAGAUAUUGACAAAGCCCUUUCCAUUUUCAAUGAGCUAAGGAAACAAGACCCUUACAGGAUUGAAAAUAUGGACACAUUCUCCAACCUUCUUUAUGUCAGAGUAAGCUGCUUCUUUUGCUUGGGUUUGAUUAAGCUCUUUUGUAUUUUAGUCUCUUGGAUUGGAUUGUUACCUGUUUGUGUUAGCUAUAAGAGAAAUUAUUUAGAGAACCCUUUUCCAUUACUUAGAUUUUUUUUUUUCUUUUUUCUCCCCAGAGCAUGAAAUCUGAGUUGAGUUAUCUGGCUCAUAACCUCUGUGAAAUUGACAAAUACCGUGUAGAAACGUGCUGUGUAAUUGGUAAGAGUUAACUACAUUUUUUUCUUUUAAGACUUAUUUUUGUUAUAAAUAUCAUGAAUGUAAAAAUAACAGCAGUAUUAAAAGUGUCAAAGAUGAGAAAAUUAUGUACCAGAGAAUAUGAAAGCUUACUGUUAUCCCACCCUAAGGUUGUUUGGUGAACGUGACUCCAGAAUGUUUUUUGUGUGAAUACCAAAAAUAUGUAUUUGUUUAUAGUGUGUAAAAACUAAUCAUUAUAUAUACUAUACUAUAUACUGUAUCGGUAUUAGCCUGUCUUAUAUCCACUAGGUAUUGUGUAAUAAGUUUUGUGUAAUAACCUAUUUUUGUGUAAAUACUGCUUUGUAGCUUUUUUUUUAAAUGAUAAAUGUUUGUCAUCUUUCCAUAUUAGUACAUUUUGAUUUGUUUUACUUUUGAUGAUAGUACCUUGUUUUUGGUGUUGGGGAUUGGAUCCAGGGCCUUCCACAAGCUAAGCAUGCACCCUAUCACCAAGCUAUGCCAUCAGCCCUCAGCAUCUUAUUAUCUAUCUAUUUCUUUCUUUCUUUUUAAAUAUUUAUUUAUUUGUAGUUGAACACAAUAACCUUUAUUUAUUUAUUUAUUUUAUGUGAUGCUGAGGAUCGAACCCAGGGCCUUGCACAUGCAAGGCAAGCGCUCUACCGCAUAACCCCAGCUCCUUAUUAUCUAUUUCUAUUAAAUAUUUCUGCUUAAUAAUUUUGUUUAUUGAUUUAUUUUUUUGUGGGUGGUGCUGGGACUCGAACCCAGGAGUACUCUACCACUAAGCUACAUCCCCAGCCCUUUUUAUUUAUUUGUUUAUUCGUCUGUUUAUUUAUUUAUUUUUAAAAUAUUUUUUUAGAUGUUGAUGGACCUUUAUUUUAUUCAUUAAUGUAUAUGUGGUGCUGAGGAUCGAACCCAGUGCCUCACACAUGCUAGGCAAGCGCUCUACCACUGAGCCACAACCCCAUCUUUUUAUUUUAUUUUUUUGGUACUGGGGAUUGAGCUUAGAGGUACUUUACCACUGAGCUACAUCCCUAGUCCUUUUUAUUUUUUGUUUUUGAGAUAGGAUCUCUCUUAAGUUGUUGAGGGUCUUGCUAAGUUGCUGAGGCUGGCCUUGAAUUUGUAAUCUCCUGCCCUCAGCCUCUGUAGUUGCUGCGAUUACAGGCAUGUACCACCAUACCAGGCUUUAUUUAGUAAUUUUUUAUAAUAUAAGUUGUGACUAGUCUUUGUUAAUAUAAAUAAAAAUUGCUUUAAGAAACAUCUUUAUGCAUAUACAUUUGUUUUUGGAUGCUUGAAUCUAUUUUUGUGUAAUAAGUUCCUAAUCGUAAAAGCCUAGAUCAAGGGUGUGUGUGUUUGUUUUAUACUUUAAUAUGACUAAAAAGUGUGUUAGAAUUUCCAGUCCUAUGAAAAGAGAUGAGCGUGUCUGUUUUCCUGUACCUGACCAUCUCUUCUCUACGGUAUUGAUGAUUUGGGCUGGAUAGCUUUUUUUGUUGCAGGCUGUCCUGUGCAUCAUCGGUAUUAGCAUAGCCUUGUCUUAUACCCACUAGGUACUGGUAACUUCCUUUCCCCAGUAGUUAUAAGUAAAAACAUUUCUAGAUGUUGCCAAACACCCUCUUGAGGGUUGAGAACCAUAACCUUAUAUAGGCCAUGCUAUGUGGCCUGGUAAUCAGUGGAUAUAGACAAGUGAAUGACUACUCCUGGAGAAAGUAAGCAUGGUGGGUUUUGAUUGAAAGACUCUGUUUUCUGAAGAUGAAAGGAAUACCUGUUCCUGGGUCUUUGGUCACAUUAUAUCAAGAUCAUACAUUUGUACCUUUCUAGGUCAGGAUGUUAUUAAUAAACUAAUGGAAUUUCAGUUCAUCAUUUGAUUAAAUACUUUUAGCUCUUGAAGUUAUGGUCUAUAAAGCAAAGUAAAUAUUAACAAAAAUAUAGUAAGUCCUUUGGGAACACAAAUAGGCAAAGAACAAAUGGUCUUUUCAAUAUCAGAGUACUUUGAAUGAACUAUAAUGUACAUUAGGUAAGGGUGGAACUCCAGUUUAUUUAGAAAUGUCUCUUGAGUAUCUUCUGUGUGCCAAGUCACUAUGCUUUGUAUUGCAGUACCUACCCUAACUGCCUACUGAAGAAGACUAAUAAGAAAACAACUAUCAGCAGGUUGAAUGUUAUAAUUGAAGUGAACACAGCAUGCUAAGGGAGUACACAGGAAAGGUAUCUAAUACAGUCUGAGAUUAGGGAAGGCUCAUUAGAGGUGAUACUUGAAUGAUGGGCAGGAACAAAAGAAUUCAAGAAGAGAGGAGAAGGGUUGACUCAGGAAGAGUAUCAUUUGACCAGAGGUAACAGACAUUGUAUCUGAAAAUAGUUCAUUGUGCCUGGGCAUUUUGUGAGAGGUAGGAAUGAACAAAUUUCAGGUAGCCUUUUGUACCCAAUAGGUGUCUUCUGGAGGAUUUAACUAGAGAGUGAUGAAAGUGGUCAGAUUUUUAUUUUGGAAUAACAACCAGAAACAAUUGUGCUGGGAGGAUUAGAAAAAGGGCAAGAGUAGAGGUAGAGAGACCAGCUAGGAGACUCUUGCUGUAAUCUUGUGUAGAGAUGAUGAGAGCCUAAGCUGACACAUUGGCAGGAUGAGUGGAGAGGCUAUUGGACUUAGAAGAUAUUUAGGAAGUAGAAUGAACAGGAAUUGGUGAUUGGUUAACCAGAUUGAUUAUAGUGACUUUUACAUGAUGAAAGGAAAUAGAGGUAGAGGAGAUAAUGAAUGAUUCCUUUUUUUUUUUAACCUAUUGACUUGAAACCAUUUGAAAUCAAAGGAGAACCCUAAUAUAGUUCUAGAGAUAAUUGCAAUUGGUAUUUUCAGUAUGUCCUUCCAGACUUUUUACAUGUAUAUAUGAAUGUAUGUGUGAUUUUGUAUAUGAGAUUUAAUCAUCCUAGGUUUAUCAAAUAUUAAUAUUUUGCCAUAUUAAAAGACCUUUUUUAAAUAUUUAUUUUUUAGUUAUAGUUGGACACAAUAUCUUUACUUAAUUUAUUUAUAUGUGGUACUGAGGAUCGAACCCAGGGCCUUGCACGUGCUAGGUGAGUGCUCUACCACUGAGCCACAACCCCAGCCCCUAUAAAAGACCUUUUAAGAAAAAAAAGGGGUGGAGGAGAUAUGCCUAAGAAGAAUAAUGAUUAAGGAGUUUCUUGAGUUUUUUUGCUUUUGUUUUAUUUAUUUAUUUAUUUAUUUAUUUAUUUAUUUAUUUAUUUAUUUAUUUAUUUAUUUAUUUUGUAGUUGUAGAUGGACAGAAUGCCUUUAUUUUAUUUGUUUUUAUUUUUAUGUGGUGCUGAGGAUCAAAUGCAGUGCCUCACACAUGUUAGGCAAGCGCUCCACUGCUGAGCCCCAACCCCAGCCCAUGCUUUUGUUUUAUUUUUAAUCAUUCAAUGAAAUGUUCUUUUUUCCCUCAGUAUAUCCAUAAUGCCCAGCAAAAUUACUGAUAUAUAGUUAAUAAAUGUUUGUGGAAUUCAGCCCACCUACCUUAAAAAUUUAAGAAUAAGGAACAUUAGGUAUAACAAAAAAUGAACUUCAUUUUUCAUAUUAUAGCCAGUGCAGAGAAAGUGGAAAGGAGAAAGAAGGAUGGAGAGGAAAAAAGGAAACUGAGGACCUGAGAGAAUGAAACAAUCUGAGAGGAGAGUGAUGGCAAGAAUUUCCUACUGGUUUAGUCCUUGCUUCUGCUUCUACGUCUUGACAUGAAUUGUUUCCUUCUGCACUUGUUUAGGAGUCCCAGUCACUUUCUCUAAGAGCCAGCAUUAUAUGUAUAUCUUGGCAUAAUUAAGAUUUGGACUCUAGACCCAGACUGCUCAAGUUUAUUUAUUUUAUUUUUUGUGGUGCUGAAAAUUGAAUGCAGGGCCUUGCACUUGCUAGGUAAGCAAUGUAUUACUGAGCUACAUCCCAGCCCAGACUAUGCAAGUUUAAAUCUGGAUUCCGAUACUUUUUCCCCCCCUGUACUAGGGAUUGAACUCAUGGGGCACUCUGCCACUAAGCCACAUCCCCAGCCUCCCCUGCCCCUGCCUUUUUUUUUAAAACAUUUAUUCUUUAGUUUUAGGUGGACACAAUACCUUUAUUUAGUUUUUAUGUGGUGCUGAGGAUCGAACCCAGUGCCUCACGCAUGCUAGGCGAGCGCUUUUCGUCUGAGCCAACCCCAGCCCUCCCCAGCCCUUUUUGAGUUUUUAUUUUGAGAGAUGAUCUCACUAAGUUGCCCAGGCUGGCUUUGAAUUUGUGAUCCUCCUACCUCAGCCUCCUGAGUGACUGUGAUACAGGCAGGGGCCACUGUACCUCACUAGGUUCUGAUACUAAGUAGCUGACUUUGGAUAGAGUUCUGUGCUUUAGUAUUUUCAUCUAUAAGGAGAGAAUAAUAAAUAAAACCUUCUUUCAUGUAGUUGUAAAGAUUUAAAAAAUAAAUACAUAUCCAAAACUUACAAUACUGUAAAUUACCAGAAAAAUUAUAAUCAUUCAGUACAUUUUAGCUCUUACAUCUACUUAAUCCUUAUGCAGAACUUGCUAGUUCUGUCUUCCCUAAUAUCUCCUUUGUUAUCCUGACUUCUUUAACUACUGAGUCUCAUACUUUUGCUAUCACUAUCCUACCUCUUCUUUAUUACAAAAGUUCACCUUUGGGCACUCUGCCUAGAUCUGCUUACGCUUCCAUUUCUGAAUCUGAGUCAGUGGCAGAAGCAAAGAUAUCCUUGUGUAGGACAUAAAGUCCUCCAUCCCGCUUUUUUCUAGAUGAACAUGAAAUUGAGUUUAAACUUAAAUAACCAGAUACAGAGUACAGAUAAUUUAUAUAAUUGAUUUCUCCUUAAUCAAACUAAAAGGCUUGAGUCUAGACAGAUUUAAAAGACAUAUAUGGAAGACUUGGGGAUUUUUUUGGUUAGUUUAUCAAAAUGGAAUCACAUUAUGUAAUUACUCCAUAAUUUCUUUUUUUUACUUGAUAGUUUAUUAUGUUUCUUGUAAGUGUAUGUAUGUGUAAAUGUGUGUGUGUGUAUGUAUCUGAAUCUAUUUUUGAAUCUAAUGCACAUGCAAUUAAUACAAUAUACAAAGGACUUUUUUAAAAAAAUUUUUAAGUUCUGGUUGGACACAGUACUUUCAUUUUAUUUAUUUGUUUUUAUGUGGUGCUGAGGAUCGAACCCACGGCGCCUCACAUGUGCUAAGCGAACAUUCUGCAGCUGAGCCACAACUCCAGCCCAUAAAGGACAUUCUUUUAAGUACAGGUUUUUUUUUUUUUUUUUUUUUUGCUUGUUGCAUUCUUUACCCUUUAAGUUAUUGUAUUAACAUGUUCACAUUAGAAUAUAUACAUAUAUGCAGGGUAUAAUGGGCUACUUGCUUAACAAAAGUAGGAUCAAAUUUUAUACUAAUGUUCUGCAUUUUACUUUUCUCAUUAGAUACCUCAUGAAAAUUCCUCCAAGUCUUGGUAUAGCUCUAAUUUAUUCCUUUAAAAAAAUAAUUUUAUUGGGGCUGGGGGUGUGGCUCAAGUGGUAGCGCGCUCGUGUGGCAUGUGCAGGGCACUGGGUUUGAUCCUUAGCACCACAUAAAAAUAAAAAAUAAAAGAUGUUGUGUCCACCGAAAACUAAAAAAUAAAUAUUAAAAAAUUCUCUCUCUCUCUCUCUCUUAAAAAAAAAAUAGCUUUAUUGGGCUGAGAUUGUGGCUCAGUGGUAGGGCACUCGCCUAGCAUGUGUGGGGCCCUGGGUUCGAUCCUCAGCACCACAUAACAAUAAAUAAAUAAAAUAAAGAUAUUGUGUCCAACUACAACUAAAAGAUAUAAAAAAAAAGCUUUAUUGAGGUAUAAUUUACAUAGCAUAAAAUUUACCUAUUUUAAGUUUACAGUUAAAUGAGUUAUAAAUUUACAGUUUGGAAUCAUCAUCAUCAUAAUCCAGUUUAUAAUAUUCCAUCAUCUCCAAAAGUUAUUUUGUCUGUAGUUGGUCCCAUUCCCAUCUGCUGGCAACCAUUUCUAUUUUCCAGGUUUAUAGUUUUGCCUAUUCUAGGAAUUUGAUAUAAAUGAAAUUUUGCAGUAGUAUUAUUGUCUGACUUUUCUCAGUUAGCAUGUUUUUGAAGUUUAUUGAUGUUGUUGCAGAUAUCGGUAGUUCUUUUUAUUCCUGAGUAAUAUUCCAUUGUUUGGAUAUACCACUGUUGUUUAUCUAUUUGCCACUGAUAUAAGAUGAAUGGCUUUUAGGUUCUUAAAAUAAAAUCUUUCCCAGAAUACUAAAGUCUUUUGCUUGCUCUUUUUGGAACAAGUGAUUAGAACUGCCUUGAUUCUUGAGGAGGGAAAACUCUCUGAGCUCUAUUUUUUUUUAACCCUUAGGGAUACUUCCUUAUAAACUUAGGCUUGAAGGGAUAUAGUUUGAAAACCACCAAGCUAAAGUAUACUAUUGAAAUUUCAUAUACUAUAUUAAGAAAAUGAGUAUAUAAAUGCUAUUUCCAGAUGAGAUUAAUGAAGAAAAACUUAAACAGUGUUUGGGAACAAUUUUAUUUUUUAUACUACAGGGGAUUCAGCCUAGUGGUGCUCUACCUAUGAGUUAUAUCUUCAGCCCUUUAAUUUUUAUUUUGAGACAGGGUCUUGUUAAAUUGCCUAGGCUGGGCUUGAACUUGAGAUCCUCCUGUCUUACCUUUCUGAGGUGUUGGGAUUAUAGGUGCAUGCCAUCACACUCUGCUGGGAACACAUUUGUUUGUGUGUGUGUGUGUGUGUGUGUGUGUGUGUGUGAACCAGAAUUUGUGAUAGAUUAACUAUAUUUGCUAAGGGAAUGAUAAUAUUCCCCUUGUUUAAAAUUUGGCUUUUCUGCAAAGUUUCAUGCUUACCUGGUAGAAUGUUAUUUCAGAAGACUUAUUUUUACCCUUCUACCUUUAUAUAUAUAUAAUAUUUUUUAUUUUUUUAAAUCAGGCAAUUAUUAUAGUUUACGUUCUCAGCAUGAGAAAGCGGCCUUAUAUUUCCAGAGAGCCCUAAAGUUGAAUCCUCGGUAUCUUGGGGCCUGGACACUGAUGGGGCAUGAGUACAUGGAAAUGAAAAAUACAUCUGCUGCUAUCCAGGCUUAUCGGUGAGCAUCUAGUUGGGGGUUGAGGAUUGCUGUGUUAGGAGCCUCAGUUGAGCCUGCAAGUUUCAAGCCUUGAUUAUGCUUUCUUAACAUUCUUUCAUUUUCAUUUCUUAGACAUGCCAUUGAGGUCAAUAAGCGGGACUACAGAGCUUGGUAUGGCCUUGGGCAGACCUAUGAAAUCCUUAAGAUGCCAUUUUACUGCCUAUAUUACUACAGACGGGCCCACCAGCUUCGGUAAGUCUGGUCACUUUACAAUGUA